UGUAUAGUACAACAUCUGAUGCCGCCCUGCCGGAGAGUACACCAUCUGUGUCCUCUGAGCCUGAUGCCACCCUGCCGGAGAGGAUAACAUCUGAGGCCGCCCUGCCGGA
Molecule: long non-coding RNA, 109 nt
Organism: Pseudophryne corroboree (corroboree frog)
Lineage: Eukaryota; Metazoa; Chordata; Amphibia; Anura; Myobatrachidae
Exons: 3
Source: RefSeq, a predicted model, not a curated record